UGGGGAAUAUUGCGCAAUGGGGGGAACCCUGACGCAGCCGUGCCGCGUGAAUGAAGAAGACCUUAGGGUUGUAAAGUUCUUUCGGUAUUGAGGAAGGUUGAUGUGUUAAUAGCACAUCAAAUUGACGUUAAAUACAGAAGAAGCACCGGCUAACUCCGUGCCAGCAGCCGCGGUAAUACGGAGGGUGCGAGCGUUAAUCGGAAUAACUGGGCGUAAAGGGCACGCAGGCGGUUAUUUAAGUGAGGUGUGAAAGCCCCGGGCUUAACCUGGGAAUUGCAUUUCAGACUGGGUAACUAGAGUACUUUAGGGAGGGGUAGAAUUCCACGUGUAGCGGUGAAAUGCGUAGAGAUGUGGAGGAAUACCGAAGGCGAAGGCAGCCCCUUGGGAAUGUACUGACGCUCAUGUGCGAAAGCGUGGGGAGCAAACAGGAUUAGAUACCCUGGUAGUCCACGCUGUAAACGCUGUCGAUUUGGGGGUUGGGGUUUAACUCUGGCGCCCGUAGCUAACGUGAUAAAUCGACCGCCUGGGGAGUACGGCCGCAAGGUUA
This 547-nucleotide ribosomal RNA is filed under the name uncultured bacterium. RNAcentral describes it as "bacterial SSU rRNA". It matches the Rfam family "Bacterial small subunit ribosomal RNA", at positions 355 to 896 of the family's 1533-position model. The record is from RNAcentral.